AUAAAGGUAAGCUAAUUAAGCUACUGGGUUCAUACCCCAUUUAUAAAGGUUUUACCCCUUUCCUUUAUA
Molecule: transfer RNA, 69 nt
Filed under: Leptinotarsa decemlineata (Colorado potato beetle)
Lineage: Eukaryota; Metazoa; Arthropoda; Insecta; Coleoptera; Chrysomelidae
Description: tRNA-Met
Rfam family: tRNA
About the family: Transfer RNA (tRNA) molecules are approximately 80 nucleotides in length. Their secondary structure includes four short double-helical elements and three loops (D, anti-codon, and T loops). Further hydrogen bonds mediate the characteristic L-shaped molecular structure. tRNAs have two regions of fundamental functional importance: the anti-codon, which is responsible for specific mRNA codon recognition, and the 3' end, to which the tRNAs corresponding amino acid is attached (by aminoacyl-tRNA synthetases). tRNAs cope with the degeneracy of the genetic code in two manners: having more than one tRNA (with a specific anti-codon) for a particular amino acid; and 'wobble' base-pairing, i.e. permitting non-standard base-pairing at the 3rd anti-codon position.
Source: RNAcentral